GCCACCGCAUAGCGCGCCGGUGCCCUUUAUGGGCUGAAAACGGGAAUGCGGUGCGGGCCUUGCAAGGCCCCAUUCCGCGGCUGUCCCUGCAACUGUGAGCGGUGAGUGCGAUGUGCCGUGGUCCGCAAGGACCGGCCACUGGGCGAGGCCCGGGAAGGCUGGCGCAUCGUGCCCUGACCCGCGAGCCAGGAGACCUGCCGGAGCGUGUCGCUCUUG
This 216-nucleotide non-coding RNA is filed under the name Sphingobium ummariense. The record is from RNAcentral. RNAcentral also lists the same sequence under 1 other name. Lineage: Bacteria; Pseudomonadati; Pseudomonadota; Alphaproteobacteria; Sphingomonadales; Sphingobiaceae.